Stygiomarasmius scandens is the source of this 83-nucleotide non-coding RNA. Lineage: Eukaryota; Fungi; Basidiomycota; Agaricomycetes; Agaricales; Campanellaceae. The record is from the annotation of a GenBank genome assembly.
GGUCUGAUGGUCUAGUAGCUUUGGGUAACGUUUCAGCUGCUGGUAUAUGCGAGAGGUCCUGGGUUCAAUUCCCAGUCAGGCCG